Molecule: ribosomal RNA, 410 nt
Filed under: uncultured bacterium
Lineage: Bacteria
Description: partial 16S ribosomal RNA
Rfam family: Bacterial small subunit ribosomal RNA
Source: RNAcentral
UAGGGAAUCUUCCACAAUGGACGCAAGUCUGAUGGAGCAACGCCGCGUGAGUGAAGAAGGUCUUCGGAUCGUAAAGCUCUGUUGUUGGUGAAGAAGGAUAGAGGCAGUAACUGGUCUUUAUUUGACGGUAAUCAACCAGAAAGUCACGGCUAACUACGUGCCAGCAGCCGCGGUAAUACGUGGUGGCAAGCGUUGUCCGGAUUUAUUGGGCGUAAAGCGAGCGCAGGCGGAAUGAUAAGUCUGAUGUGAAAGCCCACGGCUCAACCGUGGAACUGCAUCGGAAACUGUCAUUCCUGAGUGCAGAAGAGGAGAGUGGAACUCCAUGUGUAGCGGUGGAAUGCGUAGAUAUAUGGAAGAACACCAGUGGCGAAGGCGGCUCUCGGUCUGCAACUGACGCUGAGGCUCGAAAA